Long non-coding RNA from Camponotus floridanus (Florida carpenter ant), 1848 nucleotides. RefSeq lists it as uncharacterized. NCBI's taxonomy places the organism in Eukaryota, Metazoa, Arthropoda, Insecta, Hymenoptera, Formicidae. The transcript has 4 exons. The record is from RefSeq and is a predicted model, not a curated record.
UAACUUCGCGCUGCUUCCACUGUUUCGAUGCUUCAACUUCAAGCUUCGAGAAUUGUAGUGUCGAGAAGCAAAGGAACGUGUCGUGAGACGCAGUUCGAAAUACUGCGUAUUUUUUCCCGAGUUUUCACUGUUCAAAGGUAAAUUUCGCGUCCGAUGGAUUAUCGCGAGUGUCUCUCGUAAAGUGACAGAUGUGUGACUAUCUUGACAUUGACAAUUCGAUUGUGCAAGUGCGUCGAGCAGUGAUUGAAGUCCUCUUCGCAUAUUUGACGUCGUUUAUCUUCUCAAGAUGUCAAGGUGUCAACGAUAUUGGAGCAACAAUAAUCAGGUGCGCGAGGAAUGACACAAUACUAGGAGGAGCGAGCUUAUCCUCAUCGUGAUGUUCGAUCAUCCUGUUCGGGACGAAUCAUAAAUCGGAGUUUCCGCUUUCGCUCGGCCCAAUCUUUAGCGAACUUUUCCAAAAAUUGAAAAAUUUUUCUACAUUGAUUUACAUACAUUAUAGCUCUAAAAAGUGCGCGAGGAAUGACACAAUACUAGGAGGAGCGAGCUUAUCCUCAUCGUGAUGUUCGAUCAUCCUGGACGUUCGGAACGAAUCAUAAAUCGGAGUUUCCGCUUUCGACGGCCCAAUCUUUAGCGAACUUUUCCAAAAAUUGAAAAAUUUUUCUACAUUGAUUUACAUACAUUAUAGCUCUAAAAAGUGCGCGAGGAAUGACACAAUACUAGGAGGAGCGAGCUUAUCCUCAUCGUGAUGUUCGAUCAUCCUGGACGUUCGGGACGAAUCAUGAAUCGGAGUUUCCGCUUUCGCGCGACACGCCCGGUCGGUGUCUUGAAUAAUUAAUAGAUGGACGGUGAAUAACGAGCUUUUAAUUGCUGUUUUAAGCGUCACGAGACGGAUAUCUCGAUCUCGAGCGAACGUCGUUUUUCCGUCGCGUCUGUCGCUCGUUGUCGUUAAUUGCAUCGCGACAAUUUCGUCCUCCCUCGACUAAAGGCGCUCGCUCUUCUCUCUGCAAAAGGAAUCGUAAUCUUACAUCUUCGCUCGCUUCUCUCUCGACUUGACCCGAAACCGAGCGACGUUAAUUACAUCGGUUUAACACGUAACGACGUUUAUGUGAAUUUUCAAUUUUCGUGCCAAGUAGUCCAGAAACGUAUCGUUAGUUUCAAGUUUCGCGACACCCCGGAUCAUUUUUCGCGACUAAUUCUCGAAUUUCGAACGAUAAAUGAGCCGCGCCAUCAGUUGGCCGUGUUAUACGUCAGGACUCGGUUCUGCCGAGGAUUAAACCUCGGAUUAUAUCUUUCCCGCGGGAAAGAGAAGAGGGAUAAUUCCAGAACUCGAAUAAUUAACCCUGGCGCGCGACCAAGAAGGGGCUGAUAAAUGCUUCCCCUAUUUGUUUCCCCUAAAUGAACACACACUACGCAAUGAACUAUAACUUUAUAACUUGGUAUAAAUUUAAACUCGAUAAAGUUACGGCAUAUAGACAGCAGCCCCGCUUUUUCUCUGGUAUAUCAAAAUGGGGGGUAUAUUUUUACAUGCCAUAAUCGUGCAGUGAUUCACUUAUGAAGUCAAAUUAAAAUUUUAUUUGCAAAAAAUCGAGAAGAAGGGGACGAAAAAAGGCUUUAUUACGCUGAAACUACCAAUCGAUUGGAAACGACCGGUCGUUAUCAUCCGACAACUGUCGCUGGCAAGAGGUACAAUGAUGCUUAUCAUUUGGCGUCGAUCGCGUCAUCGCGGCAUCGAUUUUCGCUCUCUAAACAGCGACGUCGCUCGGCUGGAAACGCUGAAUAAUGGAGGCGAGGAAUUCGAAAGAGAUCGAGAAAGAGAUGCCCCGAGAGAACGGAGAAAGAGAGAGGAGA